AACGAACGCUGGCGGCAGGCCUAACACAUGCAAGUCGAACGUGAAGCUGGAGCUCGCUCCAGCAAUGGAGAGUGGCAGACGGGUGAGUAACGCGUGGGAACCUUCCCAGUGGUACGGAAUAGCCCAGGGAAACUUGGGGUAAUACCGUAUACGCCCCUAGGGGGAAAGAUUUAUCGCCAUUGGAUGGGCCCGCGUCGGAUUAGCUUGUUGGUGAGGUAAAAGCUCACCAAGGCGACGAUCCGUAGCUGGUCUGAGAGGAUGAUCAGCCACACUGGGACUGAGACACGGCCCAGACUCCUACGGGAGGCAGCAGUGGGGAAUAUUGGACAAUGGGCGCAAGCCUGAUCCAGCCAUGCCGCGUGAGUGACGAAGGCCCUAGGGUUGUAAAGCUCUUUUGGCGGGGACGAUAAUGACGGUACCCGCAGAAUAAGCUCCGGCUAACUUCGUG
This 448-nucleotide ribosomal RNA is filed under the name uncultured bacterium. Its description in RNAcentral is "bacterial SSU rRNA". It matches the Rfam family "Bacterial small subunit ribosomal RNA", at positions 29 to 507 of the family's 1533-position model. The record is from RNAcentral.